This 103-nucleotide small RNA is filed under the name Arabidopsis thaliana (thale cress). RNAcentral describes it as "ATSL004180". The record is from RNAcentral. Lineage: Eukaryota; Viridiplantae; Streptophyta; Magnoliopsida; Brassicales; Brassicaceae.
ACCCUACACUCAAUUUCUUACCCGCCAAAUUCCUUCUCUUUCAAUGUGCGAUUCCCUUUAAUUGUGUACUCGUUUCUUUAAUUGAGUUUCAAUGGAUUUAGAG